UGGGGAAUAUUGGGCAAUGGGCGCAAGCCUGACCCAGCGACGCCGCGUGGGUGAUGAAGGCCUUCGGGUCGUAAAGCCCUGUCGGGUGGAAAGAACGAUAGAGGGGCGAAUAGCCUCUCUAUGUGACGGUACCACCGAAGGAAGCACCGGCCAAUUCCGUGCCAGCAGCCGCGGUAAGACGGAAGGUGCAAGCGUUGCUCGGAAUCACUGGGCGUAAAGGGUGCGUAGGCGGCUUGGUGGGUCUGGUGUGAAAGCCCCGGGCUCAGCCCGGGAAGGGCACUAGAAACUGCCAAGCUGGAGUGCCGGAGGGGAGAGUGGAAUUCCUGGUGUAGCGGUGAAAUGCGUAGAUAUCAGGAGGAAUACCGGUGGCGAAAGCGACUCUCUGGACGGCAACUGACGCUGAGGCACGAAAGCGUGGGGAGCAAACAGGAUUAGAUACCCCGGUAGUCC
This 450-nucleotide ribosomal RNA is filed under the name uncultured bacterium. RNAcentral's name for it is "bacterial SSU rRNA". It matches the Rfam family "Bacterial small subunit ribosomal RNA", at positions 355 to 796 of the family's 1533-position model. The record is from RNAcentral.